This 500-nucleotide ribosomal RNA is filed under the name uncultured bacterium. Its description in RNAcentral is "bacterial SSU rRNA". It matches the Rfam family "Bacterial small subunit ribosomal RNA", at positions 9 to 502 of the family's 1533-position model. The record is from RNAcentral.
GAGUUUGAUCGUGGCUCAGAUUGAACGCUGGCGGCAGGCCUAACACAUGCAAGUCGAGCGGUAGAGAGAAGCUUGCUUCUCUUGAGAGCGGCGGACGGGUGAGUAAUGCCUAGGAAUCUGCCUGGUAGUGGGGGAUAACGCUCGGAAACGGACGCUAAUACCGCAUACGUCCUACGGGAGAAAGCAGGGGACCUUCGGGCCUUGCGCUAUCAGAUGAGCCUAGGUCGGAUUAGCUAGUUGGUGAGGUAAUGGCUCACCAAGGCGACGAUCCGUAACUGGUCUGAGAGGAUGAUCAGUCACACUGGAACUGAGACACGGUCCAGACUCCUACGGGAGGCAGCAGUGGGGAAUAUUGGACAAUGGGCGAAAGCCUGAUCCAGCCAUGCCGCGUGUGUGAAGAAGGUCUUCGGAUUGUAAAGCACUUUAAGUUGGGAGGAAGGGCAGUAAAUUAAUACUUUAGCUGUUUUGACGUUUAUCGACAGAAUAAGCACCGGCUAACU